Molecule: long non-coding RNA, 1850 nt
Organism: Carassius auratus (goldfish)
Lineage: Eukaryota; Metazoa; Chordata; Actinopteri; Cypriniformes; Cyprinidae
Exons: 3
Source: RefSeq, a predicted model, not a curated record
UUACAGACGUGGCCGAUUUGCACGUGAUUAAGAUCACAGUCUCAGAAAUUACUACAAGUGACUAGAGGUAACCAUCCUGUGCGAAAAGCCUAACUAUCUUGGCCAGGCAGGAAAACCAGUAGGCCUAGGAUUUUUCUUUUUGGUAUAAGAACCAUAAAGGCUACCAGAUUUUUGUCUAAUUAAAAGUUGCUUAAUAAUCUCCAUUCAGUUUAUCAGUAAGCGCAUAACAUUCCAAUCAAUGGACCUGAAGAAAACCACAGAGAUCGCACAACACCCGGCCGGGCCGAGACAAACCUCCAAACACCCUCGCUGCAUGUAGCUAUCUGAACAUAACCUCAAAUUAAGCAGCGAAGCUACCUCAUUAGCAUACUCAUGCACUGGAGGAAAAUGCACUAAUUAUGUUUUACUUUACACUGAUGACCGAGAUGUAUUCAUCUGCUAGGACUGUGGCUUUGUGUGUGUGUUCGGCCAGAGGAAAAGGGAGGGGGGACGGAUACGUAAUAAUCAUCCUCCCUAGAUUAAAUGGAGGCCAUUAGACAGAUAUUAAGGGAACAAUUGGAAGUAUUGGGCCAGGCUGGCCGCUAGCGCUCUUCACUACGAUCAACGAGUGAGUCACGACUCUCGCUAAUGGUUUAUCAGCCGUGUAGAUAUAGGACCGUAGCACGGCUGCGGAGGGGAGCACACCGGGAGGCCUGGCCGUGGAUAUUUGAUCGGCCUACAUGUCUCCGGCUUCUGUUCACUUCUCUCCCAGCAUUACCGGGAAAAAGUCAUUACCGCUGUAAUUAUUUUCAAGAAGAUGUGCUCAGAGAACUCACAAAUAUCAGCGAAUUGCCUUCUUUGAUAAGUACUAUAACAUUCAUUGGGGUUAUUUUGCUGCACUAUGCCGUGCCUUUUCUGUGUGUGGUUUUGUCAUGUUAUUUUCCAGGGUAUGGCCAUUUAGAAGUAGGAUGCUUUACCGCGUUUGCGUCCACGCGUUAAUUGUUCAUAAUUAAGGACAGGCAAGCGUCACAGAAAGGAAGAGUGCGGUACACGUUGUGACGUAGAGGCACGUUCGAAGGUGAAGCGUGGGCUGGUUCUGUCAGAGAGGCACGAGGCAAACAAAGCCUCAUGUCAUUCAUGUCAUUCAUUCAUGUCGAUUCAUGUCUGAAUCGAGAGCGCCGUGAAUAAUCUCUGAUUGAGCCCAAGUAUCACAGCAGCCAUAUCUGACAGAAACAGAGGCGGAGGAAAAAUAAGGAAGCCUUCUCUGGAGAACGAGAUCUAGGAGUUUAUCCUCAAACGCAGAAUAACACCAUGCUGUGUCAGGGGACGGAGAUGUUGUCCAACGUAUGGAAGGAAACCAGAGAGGGAGAAAAUGAAAAAGAGAAAGAGAGGGCAUUGUGCUUGCCACAAACUGACAAUUCCAGUGAAUCUGUGAGACAGCAGUUGACUGCUACUCUGCUAUUCCUGUUAGAGGGCUGAACCCACUCUGCCUUGUUGGCACAGAUAUUUUUAGCCCUGGCGUUUGGCAGAGAGACCAACACUAAGAGUGAUGGGGCCACACAGGCCUCCAACUGCAAAAGGGCAGCAGUGGGAUGAAGAGGGCGGAGGCGGACAAGGUCACAUGACAGCACUGGAGGAUGAGGUGAUGAGAUCUGCUGAUUGAGUCUUGGAGAAUCUGUCUUUGACAAGCUGCAUCUUAUACCUGUGAAAAGGGUAGCAUGGCAUUUUCUGAAAUAUUCAAUUAUAUUUAGGUAAAACUACAACUAAAAUUAGCAAAAUAUAUAGAAGCCAAUUUCUACCACAGAAUAAAUAAAAUAAAAAGGUAAUUGUGACCUUUUAGCUCACAAUGCUGACAAAAAAAAAAAAAAAAA